This 904-nucleotide long non-coding RNA is filed under the name Papio anubis (olive baboon). Its description in RNAcentral is "lncRNA (ENSPANG00000050698.1)". The record is from RNAcentral. Lineage: Eukaryota; Metazoa; Chordata; Mammalia; Primates; Cercopithecidae.
AAUUAUACUCUUUUAGUUAUUUUUAAAUGCACAAUAAAUUACUGUUGACUGUAAUCAUUCUGUUGUGCUAUCAAAACUUAGGUCUUAUUCAUUCUAACUGUUUUUGUGCCCAUUAACCGACCCUACUUCCCCCUGCAACCACUCUUCCCAGCCUAUGGCAACCAUCAUAUUGUCUACAUGAGUUCAAUUGUUUUAAAUUUAGCUACCACAAAUUAGUGAAAACAUAUAAAAUUAGCCUUUCUGUGCCUGGCUUAUUUUACUUAACAUAAUGUCCUACAGUUCCAUCCAUGUUACUGCAAAUGACAGACUCUCAUUUUUUUUUUUUUUAUAGCUGAAGAGUAUUUCAUUGUGUAGGAUAAAAGAACUGGAAACUACAUAAUGAAUUGCAGAGAGGAGUAUGGUGGAGAAUUAUAGUGUGCCUUGCAUCCGGAGACUAAAUCCCAGUGAAAACUUCUGAGGAGACAUGGCAAAUACUAGAGGGAGGAAGAAGUCAUGAACAACUUGCUGGAUGAGGUUGGUUUUUGUUAUGUUGCUCAAGCUGGUCUCUAACUCCUGGCCUCAAGCAAUCCUCCUGCCCCUGCCACCCAAAGUGGUGGGAUUACAGAAAUGAGUCACCACGCCUGAACCAAUCUUUUUGACUUAUUUUAGAUGAAGUUUCUUGAACUUCUUUCAUGAUGGCUUUAUAAUUUCAUCAAAUUUGGGACAUUUUAAGGUAUUAUUUCUUUGAAUAUUUAUUUUAUUCUUUUCUUCCUCUCUCUAGUAUUUCAAUUAUACAUAUGUUUUUUUCUGCUUAAUAUUUGGCUAUAGUUCUUUGGGAUUAUAUUCAUUUUUCUCAAAUAUUUUUUUCUCCCUCUUUUCUGUGGAUAACAUAAUCUCUAUUAAACUAUAUUCAAAUCUGUUGUUG